UACGUAGGGUGCAAGCGUUGUCCGGAAUCAUUGGGCGUAAAGCGCGCGUAGGUGGCUUCAUAAGUCCGCUGUGAAAGUCAAAGGCUCAACCUUUGAAAGCCGGUGGAUACUGUGAAGCUAGAGUACGGAAGAGGCGAGUGGAAUUCCUGGUGUAGCGGUGGAAUGCGCAGAUAUCUGCAGGAACACCCGUGGCGAAAGCGGCGAGCUGGAUCACUACUGACGCUGAGGAACGAAAGCUAGGGGAGCAAACAGG
Molecule: ribosomal RNA, 253 nt
Filed under: uncultured bacterium
Lineage: Bacteria
Description: partial 16S ribosomal RNA
Rfam family: Bacterial small subunit ribosomal RNA
Source: RNAcentral